UCCAUCUCUGCAAAAUCAAAGCUUACCUUGAUCAAACUGUUUCUGAAGGUUAUCUUGGUCUGUCUUGUUUCCACUGACACGGUAAACUCCCUCAGUCGUUAGACCUGCA
This is a long non-coding RNA of Poecilia latipinna (sailfin molly), 109 nucleotides long. RefSeq lists it as uncharacterized. The transcript is spliced from 3 exons. The record is from RefSeq and is a predicted model, not a curated record. Lineage: Eukaryota; Metazoa; Chordata; Actinopteri; Cyprinodontiformes; Poeciliidae.